RNAcentral lists this ribosomal RNA (978 nucleotides) under Bacillus baekryungensis. RNAcentral describes it as "bacterial SSU rRNA". It matches the Rfam family "Bacterial small subunit ribosomal RNA", at positions 95 to 1052 of the family's 1533-position model. The record is from RNAcentral. Lineage: Bacteria; Bacillati; Bacillota; Bacilli; Caryophanales; Bacillaceae.
GCGGCGGACGGGUGAGUAACACGUGGGCAACCUGCCCUGCAGACUGGGAUAACUCCGGGAAACCGGAGCUAAUACCGGGUAAUACAUCGCACCGCAUGGUGCAAUGUUGAAAGUUGGCCUUUGGCUAACACUGCAGGAUGGGCCCGCGGCGCAUUAGCUAGUUGGUAAGGUAACGGCUUACCAAGGCGACGAUGCGUAGCCGACCUGAGAGGGUGAUCGGCCACACUGGGACUGAGACACGGCCCAGACUCCUACGGGAGGCAGCAGUAGGGAAUCUUCCGCAAUGGACGAAAGUCUGACGGAGCAACGCCGCGUGAGUGACGAAGGCCUUCGGGUCGUAAAGCUCUGUUGUUAGGGAAGAACAAGUACCGUUCGAAUAGGGCGGUACCUUGACGGUACCUAACCAGAAAGCCACGGCUAACUACGUGCCAGCAGCCGCGGUAAUACGUAGGUGGCAAGCGUUGUCCGGAAUUAUUGGGCGUAAAGCGCGCGCAGGCGGUCUUUUAAGUCUGAUGUGAAAGCCCACGGCUCAACCGUGGAGGGUCAUUGGAAACUGGAGGACUUGAGUGCAGAAGAGGAGAGUGGAAUUCCACGUGUAGCGGUGAAAUGCGUAGAUAUGUGGAGGAACACCAGUGGCGAAGGCGGCUCUCUGGUCUGUAACUGACGCUGAGGCGCGAAAGCGUGGGGAGCAAACAGGAUUAGAUACCCUGGUAGUCCACGCCGUAAACGAUGAGUGCUAGGUGUUGGGGGGGUUCCACCCUCAGUGCUGAAGUUAACACAUUAAGCACUCCGCCUGGGGAGUACGACCGCAAGGUUGAAACUCAAAGGAAUUGACGGGGGCCCGCACAAGCAGUGGAGCAUGUGGUUUAAUUCGAAGCAACGCGAAGAACCUUACCAGGUCUUGACAUCCUCUGACAAUCCUGGAGACAAGGACGUUCCCCUUCUGGGGGAAAAAAUGACAAGGGGGUGCAUGGGUUG